CGCUCGUCCAGUUCCCGUCAUUGUUGUUUAAAAAGAUGUACGUAGAACAUUCCCGUUGGUCAUGGAGACCGGCAGUAAAAGGUGUGGUUAUUUACCAGUAGAUCAGAAAGAUCAAGAUAGAAAAUCAGAUAGUGAUUUAUCCAGUGAAGAUGAUUUGGAUGAUGAUGACUCAGAUUUAGACAGUGAUUUGGAUGAAAGUAGUGAUGAUGA
Molecule: long non-coding RNA, 210 nt
Organism: Patella vulgata (common limpet)
Lineage: Eukaryota; Metazoa; Mollusca; Gastropoda; Patellidae
Exons: 3
Source: RefSeq, a predicted model, not a curated record